RNAcentral lists this ribosomal RNA (17 nucleotides) under Coniothyrium palmarum. Its description in RNAcentral is "partial 28S ribosomal RNA". RNAcentral also lists the same sequence under 1 other name. The record is from RNAcentral. Lineage: Eukaryota; Fungi; Ascomycota; Dothideomycetes; Pleosporales; Coniothyriaceae.
CUUGACCUCGGAUCAGG